AACGAACGCUGGCGGCAUGCCUAACACAUGCAAGUCGAACGAGACCUUCGGGUCUAGUGGCGCACGGGUGCGUAACGCGUGGGAACCUGCCCUUAGGUUCGGAAUAACUCCCCGAAAGGGGUGCUAAUACCGGAUAAUGUCUUCGGACCAAAGAUUUAUCGCCUUUGGAUGGGCCCGCGUUGGAUUAGCUAGUUGGUAGGGUAAAAGCCUACCAAGGCGACGAUCCAUAGCUGGUCUGAGAGGAUGAUCAGCCACACUGGGACUGAGACACGGCCCAGACUCCUACGGGAGGGAGCAGGGGGGAAUAUUGGAAAGUGGGCGAAGGCCUGAUCCAGCAAGGCCGGGUGAGUGAUGAAGGCAUUAGGGUUGAAAAGCUUUUUUACCCGGGAUGAUAAUGACAGUACCGGGAGAAUAAGCCCCGGCUAACUCCGUG
Molecule: ribosomal RNA, 433 nt
Filed under: uncultured bacterium
Lineage: Bacteria
Description: partial 16S ribosomal RNA
Rfam family: Bacterial small subunit ribosomal RNA
Source: RNAcentral